AACGGUGCCUACUCUGCUCCUACAGACAUACUUAGAGCCUCCAGGCAAUGCUGCGCUCUGCUUAGAUGAGUCCCCAUGCAGGGACAGGCCUCUUCUGGUACAGACCUGUGACAGGUGUGCAACUUCACACCUCCUGCAAGAGCAACAAAAUGAAGAUCUGAAUAAAU
Meleagris gallopavo (turkey) is the source of this 167-nucleotide non-coding RNA. The record is from RefSeq and is a predicted model, not a curated record. Lineage: Eukaryota; Metazoa; Chordata; Aves; Galliformes; Phasianidae.